Molecule: ribosomal RNA, 250 nt
Filed under: uncultured bacterium
Lineage: Bacteria
Description: partial 16S ribosomal RNA
Rfam family: Bacterial small subunit ribosomal RNA
Source: RNAcentral
CACGUAGGGGGCAAGCGUUGUCCGGAUUUAUUGGGCGUAAAGAGCUCGUAGGCGGCUCGGUAAGUCGGGUGUGAAACCUCUGGGCUCAACCCAGAGACGCCACUCGAUACUGCCAUGGCUAGAGUCCAGCAGGGGAGCGUGGAAUUCCCGGUGUAGCGGUGAAAUGCGCAGAUAUCGGGAGGAACACCAGCGGCGAAGGCGGCGCUCUGGGCUGGAACUGACGCUGAGGAGCGAAAGCGUGGGUAGCGAA